Pelobates cultripes (western spadefoot toad) is the source of this 40404-nucleotide non-coding RNA. NCBI's taxonomy places the organism in Eukaryota, Metazoa, Chordata, Amphibia, Anura, Pelobatidae. The record is from the annotation of a GenBank genome assembly.
UUUUCACCAGCUGAAAGUCCUACUCUGGAAAAACUGGUUAAGUGCUUACAGGCAACCGGUAAGUCAAAAUAACAAGUAUUAUUAUUAUUGCCAUUUAUAUAGCGCCAACAGAUUCCGUAGCGCUUAAUAUUUUUAUGUUUAUUAAUAUGAUAAAUUCAUAUGUAACUUGUGCCCGCGACAUUCAUAUUUUAAGUUGUGUUUUAUUUUAUUUAUUACAUAAAUAUCCGCAUUUAUAUAGUAUGAACAUAUUCCUUAGAGCUUAAAACUAAAGGUAUUUAGAGGUGAAUAUGUAUCAUUAAGUGUAUUGACAGGGACACUCUGUCUGUCUGUCUGUCUAUCUAUCUGUCUGUCAUCUGUCUGUGUUCAGAGUGGAUUAUGCGAUACUACAUAUCAAACUCAAAUGUUACUUAUCCCAGUUAUUAAAUGGUGAUGGAUUUAAGUGCACCUACCUAGCACAUGGUAGGAUAUUGAUAACAUUUAUUAUCUUAACCCUGAACCCCAUAACUUACCAAACACACUAACGUUAAUACUAACGAUAAUCAGCCAUGUAAAUAUCCUUUUCCUACAUUUUCACUAAGCAACAGAUAACUAUUUCUAAUUGCCUUCCUGAACAUUUGUCCCAUGUGUGAUCGUUAUCUCAGGUGCACAUGCUUUCUAGCUCAAGUGCCAACAAUUCUGUGUUAACAUUGCAUCUAUCAAAUGAAUGUGACAGAGCAAUUUUAGUAUGGUGUAUGCCAGACAUGCAAAGGGUUAAUGCAAAUUAGCUAGUGGGGUAAAGACAUUAUUGCAAUUCUUAGGUGUAUGCAGCAUAUUCCAUUAGCACGUGCAUCGAGAGACCAUUACCGUUAACAAAUUCAGUAUUACUCAAUCGGGUUAUGACAACCAGGUGUACGCAAAGAUAUCUAUAACGAUUUUUUCAUAGCAAGCUAGCCUAAACUCAUGGAAAAGUGCCCAUAGGUAUAAAAACUGCGGACUGUGAGGGCAAUAUGUAUAAUUACAAUAAUGAAUAAAUAAAAUAAUAAAAUAAAUAAAAUAUUGAAACAAAAAUUUUAUAUAAAUUAUAUAUUCAUAUGUAAUUUAAUUCUAACUGUAUUUUGUUAUUAAUAUAUAUAUAUUGGUAACAAAAUACACUUACAAUGAGAUUCUAUAUAUAUCUAUUUAUAUAUAAAAUACAAAUAACCACAAAUAUAUAUAUAUAUUUAUAUAGAUAAAUACAUAUAAUUACAUAAAAGAUUACAUUAGUAUACACAUAGAAUUUAAAUACCUAUAAAUGCAUAUAUAUUAAAAUUCUACGUGUAUAUUUAAGUAGUCUUUUAACAUAAUUAUGUGAUUUGAUUAAUUAAAAUUUGAUUGACAUGCCUGACAACACAGGGAGAAAGUGCAGAGAAUUUAAUUUGCAAGCACUAUAUUUGACCCUGUAACUCUCCAAGACACCAUAAAACCUGUACAUAGGGGGUAAUGUUUUACUCGGGAGACUUCGCUGAACUCAAAUAUUAGUGUUUCAAACGGGUAAAUUGUAUUACAACGAUGAUAUUUUAAGUAAAAGUAAAAACGAACGGCACUUUUAUGGACUAUAUUAUUGUUGUAAUAUGUUUUACUGUUUUAAAACACUAAUAUUUGUGCUUAGUGAAGUCUCCUGAGAAUAACAGUAACACCCAUGUACAGGUUUUAUGGUAUUUUGGAAAGUUAGAGAGUCACAUAUAAGACUUGCAUUUCAUUUUUUUGACAUUGAAAUUUGCCAGAUUGGUUAUGUUGCUUUUGAGAGCGUAUGGUAGCCCAGGAAUGAGAAUUACCCCCAUGAUGGCAUACCAUUUGCAAAAGUAGACAACCCAAGGUAUUGCAAGUGGGGUAUGUCCAGUCUUUCUUAGUAGCCACUUAGUCACAAACAUUAGUUGUUUGCUUUUUUCACACAAAAACAAAUAUGAACACUAACUUUGGCCAGUGUUUGUGACUAAGUGGGUACUAAAAAAGACUAAACAUACCCCACUUUCAAUACCUUGGGUUGUCUUCUUUUUCAAAUGGUAUGCCAUUAAGGGGGUAAUUCUCAUUCCUGGGCUGCCACACCGUCUCAAAGGUAACAUUACUAAUCUGGUAAAUUUCAAUGUGAAAAUGGAAUGUUCUAUAUUUGACCCUGUAACUUUCCAAAACACCGUAAAACCUGCUAAUGGGGGGGUACUGUUGUACUCGUGAGACAUCACUGAUUAAAAAUAUGUUCAUUUUUUUGCAGUAAAACCUAGCAGUAUUAUGACAUUCACAACUAAAAUGUCAGACAGAAAUACAAAUUUAAAAAAAAAUCUUAUUUUCUCAUGUUUUUUUUAAUUUUAUUCAUAAUAAAUUAUGUUCCAUAUAUGAAUAGUUAAUGAUAAAUGAAAGCCCUGUUUCUCCUGAACAAAAUUAUAUAUAAUAAGUGUGGGUGCACUUAAUGUGACAGCGGUGAAUUACGGUUGAACAGACAUAUAGCGCAAAUUCCAGUUUUUGUUUUGUUUUGAUCAUUACCUUCAGGUUUUUUGCUGUAAACACUGUCUUUUCAGAGAAAAUGCAGUGUUUACAUUACAGCCUAGUGAUAACUUCACUGGUCACUCCUUAGAGAUCUUUCCUGGGUCAUGGCUGCCUAAAAUGCAUCCAAACAUUCAGUGUCUCCUCCCUCUGCAUGCAGACACUGAACUUUCCUCAUAGAGAUUAAUUGAUUCAAUUCAUCUCUAUGAGGAGAUGCUUAUUGGCCAGGGCUGUGUUUGAAUCAUGCUGGCUCUGCACCGAUCUGCCUCUUUGUCAGUCUCAGCCAAUCCUAUGGGGAAGCAUUGUGAUUGGAUCAGGCCACCACUUCUGAUGAUGUCAGCACACUGCUUGUUUUCCUGAGUCUAACAGCAUGCAGAGUUACAGCUUCAAGCUUGAAUACAGUAAGAUUUGUACUAUAUUUAUAGAGGCAUGAGGAGCCCAGGGGGGCUAGAUAGUGGUUUUAACACUAUAGGGUCAGGAGUACAUGUUUGACCAUAUAAUACUUGACCAUAUUAUUUCUAAUAGCCAGGUUCUAUAUUUGGAACAUCGCGCUAUACAUAGAUAUAUUUUUUCCAGUCAAUGCAGUAAGUUUCAUUCAUAUAAUUGAGACGGUCUGCAUAUUUCUUUGUUCUUGUGUUUAUAUUUGGGGUUAAGCCCCUCUGAGACAGCUGGAGUCUCAUACUGGUACGUUGGUCUCUGCGUGACCCCUGCAGCCACUGCCCCCCUUUCGGGGAGGUUUUGAGGUGGUGGGUGCGGCGGCUAUACAGGGACUUGGAACGUUGUGUUCCUUGCUCUCUUUUUUGUACAUGUUUGUGUUCCUUACCCUAUAGUGAUCCUUUAAAAACUAUUUUUAGUUUAGAUAAAUUAGCUCGGCAAACAUAAUUUCAGCCAUGAUGGAUUUUUACUAAAUUAUGCUUUCUCUACAUAGCUCAUAUAAAAUAUGGUGGACAUUUUGAGCCAUGCAGAAGACUAAUAAACAGAUCUGUAAACUGCCCAGAAUAUACUUUUUUUCCUCUUUAUUUUUUAAUCUCUACAUUUGUGUUCCUCCUUCUAAUGCCCAAUUCAUCAAUCAUAAAAACCUCUUUUCUCUAACAUCCAUAUGUGUUUACCUUGCUCGUUUCCGUUUCUCCUGCCGUCCUUUGUAUUAUCUCUUGUUCUCUAUAUCUCAUUCAAUAUCUGAUUCAUACCAGGUUCUCUCAUAAAUUGCAGUUCUAUCUCCCUCUUUGUUUCAACUUUCUUCUCUCACCCUCUAUUACAUACCCAUUCUCCAACCUAUCAUUCUCUUAUUCGCCAUAUCAGUUCUAUUCUCUGAGCCUCUCUAUACCUUGAUCUCCUACUGUCAGUGACAGUCCCUUUCUCCAACCCAUCAUAUCAUUCUGCUUCUCUUACCCCAUGCCAAUUUUCUUCUCUCACUUUUAAUGUCCCUUCCACCAUUCUCCAUGUGAGUCUCUUCUCCCACACUCUUAAUGCCAGUCUCCUUCCACUGGCAUGGUGAUGUGUCUUUCCUGUCCUCAAGUCAAUUAUUUCCCCCAGAAAUGUUGCUUCCCCUGUAAGUUUAGUCCCCUCAGUUGCACUUUACUCUCCAUAUUAUCAUUAGCUCUCCCACUCAUUCCACUAAUCCAAUAUGUACUCACUCUUUCCAUGUGAAAAUCAUAUACCUCAGUCACAUUCUCUGUGUUAUCUUCCUAAUAAUCCUCCCCUUUUCACAUAGACUUCUCCAUAGUUUUGUGAUUUCUUGUUUCUUCAGUAGUGAAAGUAAGACCUGUGUCACAAGUUCCUUUUAUUGCCCAAAUGGGAGUGCUGGCUUUAUUUGUCCAUGCCAACAUGCAAUAUACGCAAUAUAUAUGUAAUAUGUAAUAUACAUAUAUGUAUUUAAUAUAUAUUUAAGCCUGCAGUAUUCAUUACUACCUCUGUUCUGUAGGCAUACACUAGGUGCCACUUCAGAAGCUUCGGAAAACCAGUGUGUGCAACUAUACCAUCGCUUCACCAUCUCUGUCUGAUACUUUAUAUUUAUUAAAUGCAAACAGAGUAAAUUAAACAUAAAGAGAUAAAACAGAAAAUUGUGAUCUCUAGUGCACACAGGGUUGUUUGCUACAGUAAGAAUUCCAGGUAAUUCAAAUAUUUAGGCCAAAAUAGCAAUAUUAGAAAUAUUCUCCAAAUCAGUUCUAUUUACAGUGUGACUAAAUUGUCCAUAAAGGAACACUAUAGAGUGUUAGGAAUACAAACACUAUAGCUCUAGAGCUAUUUAGGCCCCAAACCCUCCUGUCAGAUGACUGAAAAAAGGAAUUUUACUCACUUUUUUUUCAGCACCACGAGAGUCUCGUCGUGGCUGACCCUAUCCAGCAAUGCCUGUUUGGCUGAGAUCAUCAAACUUGGCUGAGUUUAUUGCACAUUCAUGUCAAGGAAGCAAGUCUUGUGACUGAGUUGCUGCCAUUAGAGGUGUUCCUAGGCAGUAAUGUAUGUUCACAUUAAAAAGCCUGCAGGGACAGUCUGUAGACACCAGAACAACUACAUUAAGCUGUAGUUGUUCUUGUGAUUAUAGUAUCACUUUAAAUCGGAAAUUCACCCUGAUUUCAUGGAUAUAUAUUAGACAAUACAAAAUCAGUAAAUCCUCACUAUAGUAACAUUCUUGAAUGCUGCUACAAUAUAUCAGUCAGCUACUCCCAUAUAAGACUCAGAAAUCAAAUACACAUGUAAUACAAAAUAUAGCAGAGGUCUUUCAAAUCAAAAUUAUGUAUAUAGUGCAGACACUAGUGAAGGAAUAGAUUAUUUUACUAUUAAUUUAGCCUAUAUAGUAUAUAUUAUAAAAUGCUGUUACAUUUACUUAUUUAAUUAUUUUAAAUGGAUUCUGUAGUGUUAGGAAAAAAAACCCUUUAGUGCAGGCCCUGAACAGAUUUUCUUGGAAUCAAGGAGGCAGCCAAAAAAAGUUAGGAGCCAGGUUUUUUGUAACAAAAAGCUUUAUUUUCAGAGACAAAAAUACAAUUCUUAAAGGGACACUAUAGUCACAGAACCACUACAACUUAAUGCAGUGGUUCUUGUGUCUAUAGCAGGCCUGCACAACCUGUGUUCCACAGCUUUUUUUUUUUUUAAUGAAACAGCCUAUGCUCAUGUUUUUUUCAUGAAACAGAUAGAAAAGGGAUCAUGAGAGUUGUAGUUCAAAACAUCAAGGGGGAUGCAGGUUGUGCAGACCUGGUCUAUAGCCUUUCCUUGCAGGCUUUUUAAUGUAAACACUGUAUUUACAUUGCUGCCAAGUAACACCUCUAGUGACCAUCACUCAGAUGGCCACUAGAGGUGAUUCCUAGUCCAGUGCUGCACAGUGUGUAGCAAUGACUUUCAGCAUCUCCACGCUCUGCAUGGAGAUGCUGAAUGUUCCCCUUGAUUUAGUGCACCUCUAUAAGGAGAUGCUGAAUAGCCCAUGUGCGACAGCCUCACAAUGCUUUGAUAUGUUUGGUUUGGCUGAGAUCAUCAAGAUUGAUUAUCUCAGCCAUUGAGGUGGGGCCAGCCAUGGCUAGACCGGAACGGCGUGGGAAAAAAGGUGAGUAAAAUCACCUUUCCCGUGCGAUCGGAAGACAAGUCAGCUAAGCAGACAUGCACAUUCCCAGACAGACACACACACUCCCAGACAUACACACACACUCCCAGACAUACACACACACUCUCAGACACCGCUCUCCAUUUGCCGGUUUUCACCCGGCGCCUGCAUGCUCCAUCAUCACCUCAGCUGACUGGCUCACAAAUCCCAGGCAUUUUCUCGAGCCCUUUUUUAGUCACUUACCUAAUUCAAGCUCAGACUAACAGCGCUGGGCCAGCCCUCCUCCACCUCUGAUGGAAAAGAGAAGGGACACAAUAAGCUGAAGUGGUCUGGGUCCCUAUAAUGCCCCUUUAAGGAAGUAGUAUUUUUCUCUUUGCCUCUGCAUUGAUUUAUCAAAAUAAUUAGGGCAAAUUAGCCACUGUCCAGAAUUAAUAACACAAAACAAAAAAGUAAUGUUAAUAAAUAUAGAUAUUACAUCCAAAAUUUAAUUUUAUAAUUGCAAUAUUUAUCUGAGGAAAUUUUAAUCUUUUCAAUUUUUAUUCGCUAAAGUUCAAAAUAGCUGAAAUGGAAAAAAUCUGAUGUAUUUUUAUAGUAAAUGUGGCCACCCUAAUAAACAAUCAGACAUAAAAACAAACUCACUGGUCUGCAUCAUGCACGACACCAUUCUAAGUAAUUAAUGUUGAAACGUCAUCACUUCAUGCAAAUCUACCUACUCACUAACCUAUCACUGACAUCAAUGAAAAUGCAGGAUUCUAUUUAGUAGACUUAUUCACUAAAUUGAGAAUUCAAAGUAAAUAUCAACUUUAAAAGGACGACAUAGUCACCAAAACAACUUUAGCUUAAUGUCUCUUCAAUUCAAGAGUUUAAUCACUUUUGUUUCUGUUUUUUUACUUCUUUGAUUAAUUUUCAAUUAGAUGUUCAUUUGCUUUAGAAGUUUUUAUCUCCUGCUCUGUAAAUUUAAAUUAGCAAUUACUAUUUCAUGUAUAGAUCAUUAUUCAAGAACACAAAAACUAAAUAAAUAGUUUUACAGAUAAUUUUAUUUGUGCAUUAAUCAUUGAACAUCUGUUUUGAGAAUAAGGUUUAAGACAAGGUGCAGUAUUGCUUGUCAUAGAAUAUUUCAGACAGGGUUAGGAAACUUAGUACAACAGCCAAGAAUUUCAUAUAUAUAUAUAUAUAUAUAUAUAUAUAUAUAUAUAUAUAUAUAUAUAUAUAUAUAGCAGCUCCUUGUUUCUUUUGGAAUUUGACAAUGUUUUGGAGUAAAUGCAACAUGGGUGUAAGAGUCUUAAAGUUUCUUUAUUUAAGAUAAAACUGCACCCACCACACCAGAUUGUGAGGCAUCAACUUCUAUGAUAAAGGGUAAUGAUAUGUCAGGGUGAACUAAAAUGGGAGCUAUGGAAAAAAAGUGUUUCAUUCUUCAAAAGUUUCCAACGAUAUACGAGUCCAAUUGUGAGUGUUGGUGCCCUUUUUAUCAUUUGUGUUAUAGGGGCGAUUAUUGUAGAAAAGUUAUUGAUGAAUUUCUAUAAUAAUUAUAAAACUCUAUAAAGCAUUGAAUAGUUUUCAGUCCCUGAGGAAGUGGGCAUGAACAUAUGGCCUCUAGCUUAGUAGGAUCCAUACAAAGCCCUGUUUCAGAGAUGACACACGAUCACAUGGACAGAAUAGCCGUCUAUAGCAGUGCCAGCAGGGGGAGUGCCUGGAAUGACAGGUAGCCACCCUGGUGCCUGUAAUAAAGUUAAAUAAAGUUUAAAAUUAAAUAAUAUAUACUUAGAUCAUAUAUAUAUAUAUAUAUAUAUACACACACACAUACACAUACAUGUCUAAGUGUAUUUUAAUAUUAUAUAUAUAUAUAUAUAUAUAUAUAUUAAUAUCAAAAUACACAUAGAAUGAUAAAUAUAUAUGUAUACAUUACUAUAUGAAUGAAAAUAUAUAUAGUAGAGAGCACUCUGGAGUCUUGAUAAAGUAAAUUCAAACUGCUGCUUUAUUAAGCAAACACAGUGAUAAAAACAAUAGUCAACGUUUCAGUCUAUGACAAGACAGUCUUGAAAAGAGUCUGCAUAGGCUGAAACAUUGACUGUUGUGUUUAGCACUGUGUUUGCUUAAUAAAGCAGCAGUUUGAAUUUACUUUAUCAAGACUCCAGAGUGCUCUCUACUAGGUAUAUAUAUUUUGAUUGGAGAUUGUGCACUGGAGCACAAAAAGACCGGGAACAUCGAGUGCUGGGACCUGGAAAUAUAUAUAUAUAUAUAUAUAUUCUACCUAUAUAUUCAUGUAAUAUUUUUACAUAAUUAGGUCAUUUUAUUAAUUACAAUUUGUGGGACCUGCCUGACAACCCAGGCCGAAAGUCCAUAGAAUUCAAUUUGCUAGCACUAUAUUUAACCCUGUAACUUUCACCAUAAAACCUGUACAUGGAGGGUAUUGUUUUACUCGGGAGACUUCACUGAACACAAAUAUUAGUGUUUCAAAACAUGUAUUACAACGUUGAUAUCGUCAGUGAAAAUUAAGUUUUUUGCAUUUUUCACACACAAACGGCACUUACACUGACGAUAUAAUUGUUGUGAUACGUUUUACGGUUUUGAAACACUAAUAUUUGUGUUCUGCGAAGUCUCCAGAGUAUAACAGUACCCCUCAUGUACAGAUUUUAUGGUGUUUUCAGAAGUUACAGAGUCAAAUAUAAGGCUUGUGUUUCAGUUUUUUCACAUUGAAACUCGCCAGACUGGUUAUGUUGUUUUGAGACCGUAUGGUAGCCCAGGUGGCAUACCAUUUGCAAAAGUAGAUAACCCAAGGUAUUGCAAAUGGGAAAUGUCCAGUCUUUUUAGUAGCCACUGGUCAAAGUUAGUGUUAAUAUUUGUUUGUGUGCAAAUGGUAUGUCAUCAUGGAGGUUAUUUUUAAUCCUGGGCUACCAUGCGGUCUCAAAGGCAAUGUAACCAAUUUGGCAAAUUUCAAUGUGAAAAAACUGAAAAAUGUAACAUGCUAUAUUUGACCCUAUAACUUUCCAAAACACCAUAAAACCUGUACAUAGGGGGUACUGUUUUACAUGUGAGACACAUAAGUGUACUUUAUUGCAGUAAAAGCAAAUCGUAUUAUGACAUUCACAAUAAAAUUUCUUAAUUUCUCCCAUUUUUUAUAUUUUAUUCAUAUUAAAUUAUGUUUUAUAGCUAAAUAUUUGAUGUUAAAUGAAAGCCCAAUUUCUCCUGAAUAAAAUGAUAUAUAAUAAGUGUGGGUGCACUUAAUAUAAAAGAGGUGAAUUACGGUUGAACAGACGGCACAAUUAUCUCCCAAAUCAUGCAUGGAAGCACAUUCUAACUAUGCGUUGCAGCUCAGUAUUAUGGUAAGUCACUAAGCAUCAUAAUGUGGUGAACUAAUCCUGAAUAACUGAGCUGUAACAGUAGCUGAGCUGGAUUUUCCAAAACAGCUAUUUUAGCCUAAGUUUUGCCAUAUGCAUUUACUGAAAUUCUUUGUUUAGUGAAAAACUUGUAUGUUAUAUGGUUAACUGAGAAUCAUAGGUAAUGAAGUCCACAACAGGGUUGUCAAAAAAAUAAAAUAAAAAAAGGUUAAGAAAAAAGAAAAAAAACGACCAUAAACUUGCAUAUGCCUCUGCUUCUCAAAGAUCCCUAUUGACGUUUAAUUGUUAUCACAUUUAACAAGGUCUCACGAUAGAGGAAAGACAAAUAUUUUGAUAAAGUAUUUUACUGUAAUACAAGAAACAUUGUUUUCACCAGGCAAAGCAGCAGCCAUAAAAGAAUAAGACUGAAAACGAAAAAAAAACCUCCUUAGAAUGCACACUCAUUCAUACUUUAUAACAGAGAACGCAUUAUUCUAGCAAUUGUACAUAGUAAAGCAAGUCUGACUUUUGAAAUAAAAGUAUUUAAAAUAAAAAGUUGACCAAUUAUUGAACGCUGAGCCCAAACAUAAUCUUAUUCACUAAUAAUAUUUUAUGGCAAGCUGACUUGAUGUUAAGCCGUGUUGAACAGACCUUGAAAACUCGCGAUGUGGAGUGAUUGUUAAAGCGACACCUUAAACACUUUGGCUUUCUGGAAUGCUUUAGAUGUGAAGAGUGUGCCCUGCUUGUUUCUUUCAUUUUACAAAAACUGCAUAUUUUAAUAAAAACUGACACUUUUAUAAAUUAUCCUUUUUAGAUGGUUUUCAAGAAGAGAACAGGUCCUGUUACUUCCUGAUUUUUUUAGCUCGGUUUAGCAAAACUCAAGAGGCAAACAAUUGUUUAGAGAUCCUGUCUUGCAAGAAGCCUGCAAUUAUACAGCCACAGAAAGUCUGGGCUGGGGAAGAAGGGGAGGGCUUGCAAAUGCUUCAGGCAUGAGAUCUGCAGCUUUUGCAAGCUAUUUGUACAUAUACACCAAUGAAAAAAUGCAUAAUUCAAUGCAUAGAUGUUUUCAUUUGUGGUAUAUCUAUUAUGCAGUGAUUGUUAUUUUUUAUUUGAGUGGUAGAGUAUAAUUUUUAAGGAAAAUUGUCAUCCCUAUAUUCUUUUCCCUCUCUUCAAGUUUUAAGAGUAAUCCAGACAUGGACCCCUUGCUCAAGUUGCCUAGAGGAGUAUCGGCUAUAACUCACAGAUGAUGUCUAACAAGACCAAAACAAUUGUCUGGGGUUGCUAUAUCUCUCAUGCAGACAGAGCCUACCUGCAUUUCAGGUCUGGACCACUCUUUUGGGUGGAAGCAGUCUGAUAUGCAAACAGCCAAGGGUCUCUUUGUAAUGGCCCAAAAUGAGCUAAAAUUAGCUUGAUGUCGGAGCAGGGACCAAACAAAGGGCAAGCUCCUUGUGCUUUUGUCCGUUCUCAUUAUUCUAUUGCACUCUGUUUUUUUGCCUUCCAUUUUUAUAAUGAUUGAAAAUACAUGAAUAUAUGUGAUAUAUACUUCUGCAUUAUUUGGUAAUAUAUUCAUAUAAAUACCUUUUCAGUGAUCGCAUUUGCCAAGACCAGGCACAAUUUGAAUAUCUGGAUCUAUGUAAACAUUUUGACAUCACUGGAAUGUUAAUGCACCAGAAUUUGUGAAUGCACACCUGCUGUGAUUAUAUGCACUGGUUUUGGUGAGAUAGUCCAGUGAUAUAGUACCCUAUUGAGGGUAAGCCAGGAGACGGGGUAAAUAUUUCUAUUUUCUUAUACGUGUACAAAAUAAUACACACUGAGGCUCAAAUGCAUGUAUUAUUUUAGAUAAUAAUGAAAUACAAUGAAGAUGGCUAUACAAACAAUUAUAAUGCCUGGCUGACAACUAAACCCAACUCUGUUGUAAUAGUGGUUUAUGACUGUGUUUAGUUUGAAAUGGAUUGAACAGAACUUUGCAACUGACUCACCUUUGUGAAUGAGUUCUGGAAUUUUACCAUAUAACACCUAUUUUGUAACUCUGUAUUUUUUAAUAUUAUGUUUUAUUAUUUUGAUAGGUGCCAGCAUAUUCCACUAUGCUGCAAUAAAGAUAAAGGUAAAAGUACAUUAAAUACAAAGUGAAAAUGAUUUAAAAAAAAAAAUAUAUAUAUAUAUAUAUAUAUAUAUUUAUAUUUAUAUAUAUAUAUAUAUAUAUUAAAAACCAGGAUUAAAACUUAAUCCGUGAUUGCCAUGUCGGAUAGACGUGUUUAGGAAGAGCUCCUCACUUACUAUCCAUUAUUUGAGCUACGUUGCAGUUUUUUAGCUUUAUUUUUAAAUCAAAUAACAACUUACCAGACCUGGCUCGCUGUGAGGAUCGAUAUGGGCAACCACUCAUUAGUCCCUGGCAUGGACCUCCUGGCCUGGAGCUGCCAAUGUCUCUGAAAUUUAUUAUUUUUGGGCCCCUUUCCACCUCCUUUGGAUUAGUGGGACUUAUUCUGGUCCCCACCAGAGAGGCUUAUCUAAUUGCUGGGGGCUUGACACUUCUUGAUGGUGGUAGCUCUGCCGAGUAUCAAACGUAAAAAAAAUAGACAAAUUAGUGCUUUUUUUUUAAAUUAUUAUUCUCCUUCUCUUCUCUUUUCCUCUUUAUGCCUAUUUUUUCAAACCAUAUUUCUUUCCUCCCCCUUGUUCCUCUCGCUCACCUCUCCCUCUUUGCAGAGGCCACUGAUAGGAGACAAAAUGCCCAGACAGUUAACAUGGGUCUUGAGGCUUUUUCUUGCCCACACAACAACCUCAUAGUUCAAUCUCUGCCGGGGGAAUUCUGGGUAUUCAUAUGUGAAGCACGCACUUUGUCUUUGUACGGUCUCUCUACUAGUAAUAUAUUUAUGCGUUGCCUCACACAUUUCCUGCGUGUCUCUAAUGCCUUGCUGUCUUAUAUUCAUUUUGCAUUCACUUUGAAUUCCCAGAAACUCUCAUGUUUGUGAAUUACCCUGUACAGUGUCCUGGAUACCAUAUAUACAAAGUAAAUCAAUAUUACAGUUUAAAAGGGCCACCUAUCACACCUCUCUCCAGUGUUCUAGUAUAUGGCUAGCAACCUUCUCACUUCCUUACAAAUUGGAAAAUCUAAAGAACCUGAUAUAUCUAGCAUGUGACUAUUAAGUAUCCAUAUUUAGUACUAGCUGCCAUAUAUUUAUUUAAACAGAUAGGCAGAUAGUGCUAUUUGUUUAUUUUAAAGUAAUGCGUUUUUAAUAUUGAUAAAGUUAGGACUUUGGCACUUUUCUAGCUAUAGGCAAUAUAGAGUUUUAAGGUUAAAGGGACACUCCAAACAAAUAAAGCUUGCUGAAGUGUUUCAUGUGUUUGGAACCUGUCACAUCUAUGACAGUUUAGAAAAGUGACGAUUUCACUUUUAUAUUUGGGGGCCUGAAUCACCUAACUGGCUGUCCAUCACACAGCAUGUUUUAUUCUUCGCCUGUUUAGCUACACAGAGCUAAAGGAAGCAACUGGUUCAUUGUGCUAGCACGUUUCUGCCUUCCCCCGCAAUACAACUUAUUGAGAAGCAUUGGAAAUCCGCAAGCAUGCAUGAGUGAGCACCCACUCAUGGCUUCUUGGGAUUGAAAUAUUCCCCAGCACAGAAUGAAAGUCCGUGUUGGAAAAAGGAAAGGUCUUGCAAACAUCUGCAGCUUUUGAAAAUUGUCUUUCAAUAUACCCCAAAGAAAAACUGUAGAAAUAAAUAGAUGCAUGCUUUCUUUGGGGGUUUAUGUACUAAAUUGUUUUGUUUUUUUAAAUAUAUGCCUUUUCCUUUAAAAAAAAAAAGAAAAAAGUGAGAAAUCCAUAAAUUAAAAAAAUUAAAUAAAAACAACCCUCCCAAAGAGAAUCAAGGAAAGUGAUAUCACAGUUAUUGGUCCUAUAGCCUUAUAUUUUGUAGUAAACAUAUACUAAGUUAUCUCUAAAUGUAUCUUGUUCAUGCUUCAUAUUGUGCCUCUUUUAUUAGCCCGUUAUGACUCGUAUACUGUAUUAUCUACUAUGUUAAACUCUCUUUAUUUCAAUAAAAUUAAUAUUCAAAACAAAAAAAUAAUGAGCAAAAUCAAAUUUGCUUUGUGUUUUGGCAAUCAAAUCGGGAUAUAAGCUUAAUAAAGCCACCUCUGGAGUACAGGGCAAAUGUACCUCUACAACCAAAUAUACGUAUUGGAUAAGGUUCUCCAUAGAUUGAUAUUGCGAAAUACAAUAGAGUUCCAUUCAGUGUCUGUAAACUUUCCAAAAUUUUCUCCCAAGCCAAUGUAUAUGAAAGCGGGAAGUUGUAAACAGAUUCUUGAAUCAUAAUGUAAUAAAUAGAAGUGAAUACUUUGCCAGUAGGUAGUUUUUUGUGUUUUUUUUUUAAAUUAACAUGUCUAAAGAUGUGAGUGGGGCCACUUUAGUUCCUGUCAUUCGAGGCAUGAAGUGCAUCCAAUGCUGAAUUUAGAGAAACUUCAAAAAUAUUUAUUGGAAACAGAGUACUUGGAACUUAGUUGGGAGGAGGUCAUAAUAGACCCUUUUCCAAAUCGGUGGUUAAUCAAAUGUUUUCCUGCUGUAUGGCAGUGUCUUAUCUCAUGACCAGGAAUGAGUAUUUGCAAAGUCUAUAGUAGUAUUGCUUUUGGAUAGUUAAUUGGGGUAUUGAAUAUGCUUUGUAGGGAUUUCUAUCUGUAUAGAGUUUGUUUGUGAAGUAAUUAUGAAAAUGUGAAGUGAAUUAGUGAUCAGUUUAUAUUACCAGAGAAAGUGGGACAAUCUAUGACAUGAAAAAUCAUCUAUACCCACCCACAUUUAAUGAUAUUUAAAAAAAAAAAAACAUUUUUAGUGGAGGCUGGGUUAGAGUCUAGUGGGAAUUGAAAGGCUGUUUCAUAAGAAUGUUGCUACCCUAGUAAAAUAUUAAUGGUAAUUUUCUCAUUGGUCUCAGUCAUGCCAGCUCAGACUAGGCAUAGUGAAGAGCAUGAGUAUAGAAAACAUGUUUGGGAAUACAGCUGUUAAUCUAAAAAUCAAGAAGCAAUAUCAUAGUGUACAUUAGAACCAGAUGGUACACUGCUCAGAUAGGGAUAUACUCACAAAAUAAAUUAUGGCACUCUCACCUCUGGAUGCCUCCCCUUUGAUUUCUGAGGGCGUCAUCUAGUGAUCCUUCGGCUCUGGAUCAUAAACACCUCUUCCAGGAUGAUUACCAUGACUCAGAAUGGUGUGCAAAAUACUGGUUUAUUGACAAAUGAAAUGUAUUUAUAAAAACAUGUCAAAUAAAAAAAAUUAAAUUGGUCUUACAUGUUUCAUCCAAUACUGGACUUCUUCAGGGACCCAAAUUGGUUCUAUAAUAAAUCAGAAUGCAAAACAGAAAAUCAACAGAAAAUAAAAAUCAAAAAUUUCUGAUAAGGGAAGAAGCAUUCUAAUGAGGAGCAUAAUGGGAGGGAGAUAAUAAAAUGAGAACACUAACAUUAAAUAGUAAAACCUCUGUAAGAAAAACAUCAAGCCACAUAGCAAGAUAAUAAUAUUAUUGCUGUAUCAUGAAGAUAACUUAUUGAAAUUAAAGCUAGAUUUCAUGAGACAGUGCGCAAAACACACUGCUUACACAGUCAAUAAAAGUUCUCAUGUUUAAAGCCAAGUACAUAUACAAAGGUGGUGUAUAUUGUGUUAUGUAUGGAACUUGUGAUAUUUACAAUUGAUAUUGAUAAUGUAUUUUAACAGCACUCCUUGUAAUGAAAUCUUAAAUUUUAUGUUUCAUUUUAUUCUAUUUCAGGUGUGGUCUGUUGUACUCAUCGUAUGGCCUGUGGUCAUAUUCAUUAUACUAGCAAUCACUCGUCCCAAAUUCCCUCCUGUGAACGUUUCAAACUGUAAGUAAUACCCUUUUACGAGAUACAUUUUCCUUGCAAGAUAUUGUUGGUGAGAGUAAUAGAUAACCUUAAUCUUAUGUAGAUUUGGGAGCAUAGCAAAUUCAAAGUGUCACGAAAGCAUUGUCAUUCUAAAGUAUUAGUCAUACUUAAAGGAACAUUCCGAGCACCAAAUCCACUACUUCCCACUCCCAGAUGGUGAUCUCAGCCAAUGAGCGCAGCCCUGCUUAUCUCCGUCCCAGCAGGACCCAUGUGAGUUGUCAAACCAUUCUAAAAUGCCAGGGCACACAUGGCACUGUAAAUAGUAAAUACUACAGCUGGCUGUAGUAGCUAGGAUACUUUGAGUAUUCCUUUUAAGGGAAACAUAUGGGGUAUAAAUGUAUGGGGUAUGUGCAGGUGUGCAUAUUUUAUUUUAUUUUAUUUCUAAAAUAUUUUACCAGGAAAGAUACAUUGAGAUUUCUCUCAUUUUCAAGGAUGUCCUGGGUCCACAAAACAUUGCAUUGUUACAUUAGGGUACAAUAAAAUACAAAUACAAUACAAAUACAAAAUACAAAAACAAUAUUUAUACACACUAUACAAAAUUUACCAUAGAACAGGUAGGAAAUAUAUAAUCACCCAUGACAUGUGCAUUCUGUUUUGAGGUAUGUAGAGAGGGAUCUCUUAAAGGACAUUAGGCUUGGGGAAGAUUUUAAAGUGUGCGAGAGGUCGUUCCACAAUUGCGGUGCUCUGAGAAGGAGGAUCGGGCCGCUUUCUUUUUGUAUUGAUGUAGGCUAAAUAAAGUGCUGGUACUGGAUCGGAGGUUAUAGGAGAUGGGAAAAGCUGAGGAGAGCAUUUUGCUCAAGUAGGGUGGGAGUUUCCCAGAAAAGCUCUUAAACACAAGGAUGGAAAGAUGAAGGGUGCAUUUUAUUGCGUUUAUUAAUGUGGGAUUGCGGUGCAGAUGCAUAUACUACAUCCCCAUAAUCAAUGAUUGGCAUCAGCAUUUGCUGUACAAUAUUUUCCAUUACUGUAGGGCUUAGGCAGGAUUUGUUUCUGUACAGGGCACAUAGUUUUGGAUAAAGUUUAGAUGCAAGUUUUUCUAUGUGGAUUCCAAAAGAUAGAUUGGGGUCUACCAACAUACCCAAGUAUUUGAAAGAGUGGACUGCGGUUAGUGUGCCAUUUGAAUUUGUUUUGAUGGAUAGGUGGGUAUUAUGUAAUUUGUGUAAUUUAGGUACUGUUCCAAAGAUCAUUGUGACAGUUCUGUCAGUGUUUAGGAAGAGUUUGUUUUUUGCGAUCCACUUUUCUACCUCUGUAAACUGGUCUUGGAGCACAGCCUCAAGUGCUACUGUGUGAUUUCUUGAAUCUGCUGGCUUAGAAUGGGUUAAGUACAUUGUCGUACAGCGGCUACUACAAGGCUGUGCAAAGUGCUGUUUGGCAACUGAAGGUCUUGAUAACUUAGAACUUUUUUUGAGGUGGUUCAUCAGGUGGAUGCCCUCUUGCCUCAGAACGUCCUGCCUUCCUGACCUUCCAUGACAUGCCUUCUCCUUUUUACCUGACUGUUGCUUCCAGUCCAAAAAUAACUUCUGGUUCUAUUGGAUAACUUCCUGCUGUUUGCGAUGCUGUCUCUGAGACUAAAGCCAAUUCGCCUGUUGCCACAUACAUUGCGUAAUAAUAUAGUUUUUGGGUUCACCUGAGACAACUAGGAACUCACAGUUUGCUUUGUUCCACACUGAGCCAUCUGUAUAAUCUGCAUAUUCUGUGUUCCUAGUACUUUUGUAUACUCUUUCAGCUCUCAAGGAGGGCUAGAACCCCUCGGUCUUGUGGUGGACCACCUACGUCUCUUAUAGGAAUAUUAGUAAAAACUUUGUAUUUUUCCUUGCAUUCUUAUUUAACCUUUUCCUGCUUUUCAUGUUUAAAUAUAAUAAAGUCUGUUUUGUACUUAUUCCUUUAAUCUCAGGAGGGUAGUAAGUAUGAGUUCAGUGGUAGACAAAAUUACUGCUUUUUAAAAACCCUUUAAAAUCAGAUUUUAUCCAGUAAACAUUUAUUAAGGAUAGCUAUCCAUUUGUGGCAAACAUGGUUUUAAAUGGACAAUAAUAAUUAUAUUUCUAAUUCUGAAACCUCCAGGAAUGUGUAAAUUGCAAUUGUAAUCAGAAAGACAUAUAUAUAAAUCCAAGUCAAUCUCAUGUUUACAAAGUCUUUUCAGGUAAAUAUCUUUUAAAGAAGUAUUCUCUGGUCAUUCUGUGCUAGUGGUAAUCCAAUGGUUUUUCUCAGCAUCCGUCUAUGCUUGUUUAGCAAGAGCCUUUGUUAAAAAUCCUCUAGAGAUAAAAGCUAAGGACCAAGUCCUGUAAAUCUCUAUUAAAGCAGUUAUCUUGCAAUGAAUGGGCUUUUGCCAAAGUCCCAAAUGUAUACAACUAGUUAAUCUUGGACUUGAGGAUGGUUUGUGAAUAUUAAGUGCCUCGUGCUCUAUCCUCCAAAAGUAUACAAUCCAAGAAAGAAUGGCACUCCAAGGACUCCUUAGUGCAGUUAACGUGUUUUUCUUAAUUGGUCAGAGUUUCACUUUGAAUCAAUAAACCUUCAUCGUGACAAUUUUACAAGAACCAUAAACUCUUGUUUAUACUUAAGCUCUUCCUGGUAGCCUGUGCACGUCUAAAAUGUAGCAUGUCCUGCGUGUGUACCCAGGUGCACCCCCAGGAAGCCUUCCCAGUAGCAUGGUCCAAAGGUAUUUAUAAUAGAAACCAGACGAUCUCAGAAUAAAAACAUUGUAUAUGUAAAAACCCAGCACAAAGUGAAGAAAAAGAACAUCCCACCUAUGGACGCAAAAUUAAUAGAACUCAAUAACAUGAUAAGAGUUGACAUAUUCACAUAUUAACACUAUAGGGUCAGGAAUACAUGUUUGUGUUCCAUUAAAAGAACUAUCUCUAUAGCUGUGGGACAACUGGGGUUAGACAAUCAAUGAUAUAUUGUAGGUCACACUUGUGCUGUAUAAAGUACUGAGAAAAUAUCGGGCAACUUACCAUUAGACUUCAACUAUAACUAUGAUGUAUAGAGCUAAAUACAAUGCAGAUAGUGAAACAAGGAAAUGGGCUGAGACCUUCACACUAGGGCACAAGGACUGUUGAUCCUCCAGCUAAUAAAAAGAGUGCUGUGAAAAAAAAGAUAAACACUGAAUUGGUAAACAAAUAAACAAACAAAAAAACAACAACAUCCAGGACAGGCUGUAUGAUACUGCUAAUCAUGUAGCUUGGUGCAAGCCUGAACAUCUUUUCAGGAGUCGGUCUGAAAAUACAUCCAUUUUAAAAAAAAAUAUUUUCCUGUAGUUGCAGGAAAACCCCAGAAUGGAACAAAAACCCAGAGGGCCAGGUUAACAGAGUAAAUACAGACUGAUAAAGACAUAAGAGCAUAUAUUAAGUAUAUGAAUAUUAUGCAAAAAGUAUAGUGUUGGAUAGAGAGGUUGGUAAAAGAUGUUGAAUACAGAUAAACCACAAGGUGGUGUUGCUACAUUAUUUCAAUAGGCGCCAGUAUUAAGACAUUGGCACAGAAUAAACUAUUUAAAACAGUUUAAAGCAUUUUGUUAUUGUUGAAAACACAUGCAUAGCAAUGUUUUAGUAAUCCAUUAGUGGCAAUUAUAUUUAAAGGGACAUUCUACUGCCCAAACACAAAAUAAAUACAAAUCACUGUUUAUUAUAUAUAAGUUAAAAAUUGCAUGCAUUUAAUAUAAGCAAUUUUCCAUUGCUGGUAUAUAUAUAAAAACAGCAUGCAAAACCUGCAGAUCUCUUGUCUGCAGCCUUGCAAACCCUCCCCUUUCAACCAUUCCAAUAUUGCUGUGGUUGUCCAAUCACAGACCUCCCAAUGCAGCUCAAUGAGAAGUCUUUGCAAGGCAGGUGCUCUGAGUAAUUGCUGCCUCUUGAGUUCAGAUGCAUUUGCUAACAAAACCAGGAAAUAACAGGAUCGGUUGUCUGCUUGAUUUUUUAAAAAGGACACACUCUUCACUUAGAAAGCUUUUCAGCAAGCUAACGUGCCUAAGGGGUCUGAAGUGUCCCUUUAAGGAAAAGAUGAAAAAGUCCAGGACGAGAUGUUCAAUAACUUAAACCAAAAAGUUGCUGCAACAGUUUUUUCCACAUUCACUUCCCCUUUAAAGGGGGGAACGUGGUCAACUGCUGUAAAUUUUAAAGCAAGGAUUUGAUAACAUUUUUCAAAGAAAUGCUUGGAGACAGGUUGAUCAGACUGCCCAUUCUCGUAGGCUAGCCUGAUAAAUUACAUGUGUUGGCAGACCCUUGGCAUAUCUGAGUCUGUUUUACUCAGAUAUGCCAAGCCACAUGGGCAAGUAAGUUUAUAAAUGUCAAAAUCUAUUAUGCAUGUUACUCAAUGUUUUAUUUAAUAUUUUUUUGCCAUUGUGGGGUAGUUGGAGCACUUCUUUGGUACCAUGCUUACAGAACUUACAGCCCAGGCAGCAAACACAUCCUAUGUUCUGGUUUUAGCUUUUUUGAUUGUAAAAAUGUACAGAGUUGGCACACACCAACAAGUCAUUAAGGGUUUUGCCUGCCUUAUAGCACAACAAAAUGAAGUUGUUUGCUAACGUGUGCCAAUUCUUUUUUUUUUUUUUUAUAUAUAUAUUUUGAAAAUAGAAAGGCAUAACACUGAGUCAGUAAUACAUAUCAAAAAAAAAUCUGGCAAUUGUUACACAGGUCAUGGAAGGUUACAGAGUUGAUACAUAGUGAAAUGUAGCGAAACAAUAGACAGUGAGUCAAUACGGAGCAAACCAUAGUACGGGUGUGAGCAUCAGGUAGGUACUGCACAUUUGAAUAGUAUAUCGAUUCAAAUAGGUACCUAAGUCAACUGGGUAGAUCAAUAUGUACAGAGCACCAGCAGAGAGGUAAAACACAUGUCCUGUGUAUCUAAGUAUGCCUUUCUGCACUUGCUUUAUAAUAAGGGGGUAGCAUGAAGUGUAUGACACUGUGGUGACCCGCAAAUGGCUGGAUCCGCUUCUAGGCUGCCCAUGUCGGCGUUAUAUCAAAACAUAAAGUAUUAUCUCAUGGCUUAACGAUCCAGAGUAUCUUGGCCAGGUAGACUGUAUGUAGUAUGGUGAGAAUACUGUAGCAUUCAAAACAGAGUCAGCGCUAUCCAGCCGAACUCCAUCGACUUGUACUGUGUCUGCUAAGUGAUAGUCGAGAGGGGAACCCAGAGUAAGGAGGAAGGGAAUUUAGGGAAGGCCUAGUACAUCCCCUUGUUCGCGUGACUCAAGAAACCUGACUUAUGGUCAACAUGGGUCAAUCGUAAUAUGGGUUAGUUCUUGCAUAAACUUUACCCAUGGCUCCCAUAUAUCACUGUAUAGGGUAUAUCUGUGAGAGAUAUAGGCCUUUAUUUCCUUCAUGAUUUUAAGUGUGACUACCUUCUGAAUCCAUUCUCUAAUGGAUGGAACGUUGGGAUUUAUCAGGAAAAUGUAAUGUGUGUGGAGUGUGUGGCACAGAGACAUGAUCUAUACACCAAAAUGGCUUUUUAAAGCUAAAGUUGUUUUAAAGCCUGUAGUAUCCCUAUAAACUGAGUUGUUCUGUGUUGUGUUGUAGCAAAUAUAGUAGCAAGUACUUGGGUGGCUUCAGAUAAAAACUGUGAGGAUACAAAAGUGUGUUUCUGUCCAUGAGUUUACUGUACAAUGUAUAAGACAGGGUAUCACAUGUCAUGGAAAUUCCAACAUUGAGUAAGUCCACUGAUAUGAGUCAGCAUAUAUCUGUGGUAAAUGUCAGAAAAUCCUACCUCUAUGCCCUUUAUGGACAAUGUGCCUUCUUCUUCAUGGUUAUGCCAUGUUUGGUAUUGUGUGGCAUUAGUUCAUUACAGGGUUUGUAAAUCCCAAAGGAUUUACUUAUUUAUCUAUUUCUCUAAAAUUCAUUAAAAAAUAUUUUUCAUGUUAAAUUGACACUACAGGCACCCAGGGCACUUUAUCUAAUUGAAGUGGUCAGGAUGCAAUGCCCCUGUCCCCUUAACAACCACUAGAUGUGCUUCUUGCAUUAACUCAGCGAAACAACGUUAGAUGUCCUCACGCUUUGCAUUCGGACAUCUAGCGUCUCCAAAAUCUCCAUAGGAAAGUAUUGAUUCAAUACCCAUGUACCUCAGUGCUGGAAUCAAGAUAAGUGUUAAAAAAGUUUUUAACUUUUUCAACAACAAAUAGGGGGGAGUGGAAGUGGGGUGGUGCGGAGUGAGAGAAACAGUUUCGUAUUCCUAACACUAAAGUGUUCUUUUAAAAUUCUUGCUUCAAGCUGUUGAACCUGUGUUACACAAAAAAAAUGUUGUUAAAUUAUAGAAUAUUAGUUCAGGUUCAACAUUAACAUUUCUCGCACUUGAAAGAGAUUUGUAUGUCUGCUUCAUCUGGCUGGAAACCUACUUGACAAAUUGGUUCAAACAAGUGCCAAAAAUGUUAACUCAACUGGCUGUUACCAGAAUAAUAUUUUGCAGUGCAAGCAAUUUUUCAUGUUAUAAUUAGACUAUUUUAUGUAUAAACCUUUCUGAACCUUUAUGAAACCUGCUGAUAUACAACAGAGAAUUUCUGUUUUCUCUGAAUGUAUUAUAGCAAACGGCCCUUUUAUCUUUUAGCAUAUAUUCUAUUUAUGGAAGACUUGUUAGGGCAUGGUACUUACGCAUGAUAAUCUCUGUUUCUUGCCAUCAGCAACAACAAGGUAAAAGGAGGGUGUUACCAUCAAGACUGCCGAGCAUCAUUGCUCUCUAAGACACUCAUUUAUUUUGAUACGUCAAUAUUAUCCUGUCUUCUUAAUCUUUAGCAAAUAAAGCAGUAGCAGUCAGUGAUCCAAAUCUCCCUGGAGGUGUAUUUUCUAGAAGUUAGGGUUACUGUUGGACAUGUGUCAAUGCCUUCCAGAAAUAGUAUUUCAAAACCUUUCUACUAACUGUGAACUUGUACAACCGGUAAAACAGCAAUAUGUUUUAUGAACCAUCUAGGCGUGUAUACAUUUCAUAGACUUCCUAAAUGAUCCCUUUUCAUGUGCUAUAUUCUUAAUACAGUUAUAUAGAUGUCCUCACAAUUGCUAUUAAAGUGAAAUCUGGGGAAGUGUAAUACAAUAUGUUUCAAUUAUCAUGUAAUAGUCCAGUGAUUGCAAAACGUGCUAUUCUUCAUAUUUUGUAUUUCCACAAAAGGCAAGGUUGAAACUGAGAGCAUUUGUUGAAGAAAAGUAAGGAAAUACACUUUUGGUGUAUAACAUCAAAGCGUUUAUUCAUUGCAACAGCAAACUGGAGACUUGCACAAUUUAGUCCAAAUACGUGAACGACAAAAUUAAGUUAGAAACUUUUAGACAUUUUAAAUUUUUAGACAUUUUCAACUUUUUAGACAUAUACACUUUCAAAGUAGCUACAUUUUGAAAGUGAGUUAUCAAUACUACUACAUCUCAUCUUUACUUUGUCUCCCAUUGCCAAUCCAACAUGCACAUUGUAUGAAACAUUAGGCCAUGACUAUAUUUCAAGAUUACAGUUUGUGGUUAACAAACAAUCCCUUAUGUAUUUCUAUGUACUAAAAUGCUUCUGUCUCAGUGGGUAUUUUAAGAGAAUCUGUAACAAGUUGGAAUUCUAAAAUUAAGUACAAAUUAAGAUAAAAAAACAGUAAGAUUGUGGAACAGAUCAGUCUGAAAAACAGGAGCUGGGUGACUGCUUAUACCACAAACACCUGUCGUGUCUCAUAGGAUAAGAUUAUAACCCAUAGACUAGAAUAGGAGCUUCCUGAUUGGUGGAGUCACUUCCUGGUGAGGGGAGGUUCUGUCUGAAGCUGCAGUCAGCUUUUUCUUAGCUAUGCAGCUUCAGGUUUUUUUUAAAAUUUUAUUAGUUUAUUUUGCAUAUUUUAAUACACUUUCCGUGUAAUGAAAGUAUAUAUUAUCAAUAUACAUAGUUUAAAAUGGGUCCUUUUUGAUCAUUAUUUCUCUGUUACAUAUUUUAAAACUAAAAUGAUUAUGGCUGGUAUUGAUGACCAGCUGUGUCCGGCCAAUGACCCAUAAAAGGAGUUGAAUAAAGAUCAGUGUUGUAAGAGGUUUGAUUUUGAAUGGAAGGCUUAGCAUUAACAAGGAAUCCUCAGGCAAAGUCAACAAAGAGUAGAAUUGCACAAAGAGUAGACCUGCAGCUGGGGUUAGAAUAGCCUGGCACAAAGAUCAGGUUGCCUUUUUUAGCCAAGUAUUUUGCACUUUCUUAUAUAUGGGAUUUAAAAAAUAGAUCAAACCAAAACCAUCACUCUUCCUCACCUGACAUUAUGUCCUUUUCAUCAUUGAAAGUAAUUAUGAAAAACUAGAUAACUGGCUUUAAAACAAAAAAAAAACAAAAAAAAACAUGGUGGCUGGUGAUUAAUUACAGGCUUUCUAACAACAUUAAGUAAAUAACAGAUUAUUCUUGUGUUUGCUUUAAAAUUUGUCUAAGAAGACUUGCCAAAUUGUCUAUUUGUCGUUGCUGCUAUUAACAUUAAGAUGAAGGCUUGUUGUAACUGAAAACUAGUGCUAUCUUUAGCAGCAUUUUACCUGCACAGUAGCUUACCAGUAAAUAAUGUAUUUUUUCAUUUAGAGAGUAAUGUAAAGGAAAUGCAAUUAGAUCGAUGCAUUAUGUAAGUCAAGGGGCAAAUAUAUAUCAUAAAUAUAUUUUGACCUUAAUGUAUUUUUCUUAUCCCUCUGUUAACAUUUAUAAGUAUUUACAACAGGGUCCACUCUAUCAUUUUCCUAGCAAGAGGCAUAUACUGUAUUAAAUCUUUGGUUUCCAACCUUAAUUUGACCAAAGCAAAUUUUAAUGAGAGAAAGACUUCCAAGGCACAUUUACUUUUUUUCAAAAAUGAUUUUUACCUUCAUCAGUACUUUUAUAUUGUAUAAAAAGUGCAUACAUACUUUUAGCUUAAUUGAUUUUUAAUUAAUUAAUUGCCAGAUGGGAAUCCCAACUUUGAUAGCGAGAUGUAUUUAAAACAACACAUUUUAGGGAUUGUGUUUGGCCUAUUCCAGUCCUGAAGUCAAUGGAUUCACUGCACACUUUGAGGUGGCCUGAACUGAGACACACCAGUUUACCUGAUUAUACUGGAGAAAACCAAUGCAGUUAAUAUAACUACAAUCCUUUUGUUAUCUCUUCUUCUUCCACAAUAGCAAUAUGGCUAGCGGGGGCCUCGAGGAGCCCUGUUUUGGGUCAAAAUGCUCCAAAACAGUUCCUUUUCAUACAUACCUCCCAAUAACUUAAAUAUUUGAUAUGACUUUGUGCUGUUUAACCCUCCCCUUUUUUCCUGUUUCCCAUAUUCCUGAACAAGACAUAUUGUUCUUUAAAGAGGCUCUGUCACCCCCUACCCCUAAAAAAUAAGCAUUUUAUAAAGAUAAUCUUCCUAAAAUGCUCAUACUGAAUAUACUGAAAUACUGAUAUUUCAAUGCAGUCAAAAGAUAUCAUAACACAAAGUAGAGGACUAUGAUUUCGUAAGGAGUUUUCCUACGCUUGACGAAGUUUGACAAAAUGGUGGAGCUACAUGUGUCAAGCCCCAGGUUCUGGGGAAACAGGCUUGGUCUAUGGAAGCUUCAGUGGUCUUUCAGGAUUUUCCAGAGGACACCAGUGUUGUACUCUUGCCUAUGCGCGUGAUUAAAGUAUCGAUGUCAGCUCCUGGCAGACGAAGCACUAGAAGCACUAGAAGUUAAAGAGGAUCCCAUGAAAGAAGAUGGCAGCGGCACAAGGGAAAAGUUCAGAUAAGUAAAACUCACAUUUCCCUGCACACAUCAAUCACCGCACAGUUACCAUCAGAGUGUUUUUGCGAAAUAUACAAAGUGACAGGGCAGCUCUAAAAUAUAAUAAUAAUAAUAAACAAAUUAAAUUUAAAAAAAUCACAUGAUGUUAUUACUAUAACAACUGCAAGGAGCUGUAAUGGUUACGGUGCUAAAUCUGCUCCUUUAAAUUUCAAAUAGGCAUGAAACAGUGUUGCACAACCCAUUCUCUUAUUAUUUUAUUCAUUGCUUCCAGGUAAUGGAACUAUAGCAAACAUACCUAGCUAUUAUCAUGAUAAUCUGCAGUUACACGCGUGUUAACAUUAAUCAUUGGUCACAAAUGUGUUGCAAAAAUACUAGGUAGGUCAGUCAAUACUAGUUUUUAUCUUGGCUUCAACUUGUUAUUUCUAUGUGACGUUUCAUUAAGGAGGUGAAAGUGUAAGAACAAUCCAUGUGCAAAUAUGCUCAAAAAGUAACAAAAGUGUUUGCCAAGUAUUUUAAAGUGUUAAGGUUACACUACAUGGCGCGCAAUACGUAUUAAACAACCUCGGGGACGUUUUACAUAACAGAACAAAGGCGUUUUCCAUUUUUCUUCCGUCUGAUGCAAUUUUGCUUCACUGAUAAAACGCUAAGUAAAGUUUACACAUGGUAGCAUAUCAUAGCAAGACAUUUAGAAAAGUAUGUGCAUGCAGAAAAAGAACAAAAAAAUACAAUAUUAAAAUCACCAAUCCAGCCAUUUACUUUUCAAUAUAUUUAAAAUGUCACCACGGAAUAGCACGUUCUAUUAUUUCACUUCCCAGGAUUUUUAAUAUUAUGCAUGCCUUUUCCUAAAUUUAACAAAUAUAUAUUUAUGAAGUGUAAAUAACAAACUUAAAUGGAGAAAUCCACACAUUUGACUGGCAAUUUAGCCCCCUGUUAGUCAUUAUUAUAAACUCAGUCUGUUGGACCUGCCAGGCAGCAAAACACAGAGAAGGAGAAAUUAAACAAUGUUUCCCUGUAAUGUUUGCCCAGGCCUUGCCUUAUUCUGAACUGGAUUAUAGUAUAAUUUACUAAAUCUUUAGUAUAAAUUUAAAAGAAAAUGAAGCAUCAGAUAAAAAAGGGUUAACACAAGUAAACAUUAUUCCCAAUACUUUUUUUCCAUGGUGUAGAUUCCAUAAAGGUGACAGUUUGCCUCUAUAGUUGUUGUGAGGAUUUUGGAGAGAAAAUGAUGAAACAAGGAAAUAUGAAAAAUUAUGAGAUUAGAAAACAAGAGGACAGGAACUUCAUCUUUUAUGACUGGGCUAAAGCAGUUUGUGCUGCUUUGGGUGUGAAGACGGAGUGAAUAAAUUGUUGGCAUUUUCUCUGGCUAUUUGUAUCCAGUGCCCUUUUCUGUUAAUUUGUCUGUAAAAUAUUUAAAAUAUUAAUUUUGUGUCUCUUCUUCACUUUCAAUCCAAUAAAUUUUGAUAUUGAUGGAUAAUUGUUUUGUCAUGUCCUUCUACUUAGAAUUGUAACAUGUAUGUGAGUUACAGCUAGUAAGUGCAUGUUCACCACCUAGGACUGGAAUGCUGUGCAGCCACUGCUAGAGUUGUAAAUGGGAUUACAGUUAAUAUGCGAGCAUCGUUUUCUGUUGAAACCGGUAAAUAGAAAGCCAGUCUAGCCUGUGGGACAGGACUAUAAUUAGAUGUAUAUACGCAAUUUGCAUCUUAAUGACAAAACACAUGCAUUCCUCUGAGACAUGGCCAGGCGACACUCCUCUAAAUGAAUGCACCAGGCUGUCAUUAUGUCAUUUUUUUAUCUCAUGCUUUGUAUGGGAAAAACCCAUCAUCAGUCAUUAUUUUAAGUUUGAAUGUUAGAGCUUUUCCUCUUUGCAUAAUGUUCUAUCUUUUAUCUUUACGCUCUUUCUGGAUAUAGUUGCUUUCACAACUGUGUAAUUAGUUUGAUUGUUAGUAUUUUAUUUUUACUCUUGCAUAUUGUUUUCUGUCCCUUAAUAUUUUUCUUUAUUUAUAUUUAUAUUUUUUCGGAAUUCCAUAAUAACUAAAAAAUAUGUAAUUUGGUAGAAUGCACAGUAAGACAAUUAUAGCUUCAAAAUGUAUUUUAUCUAUAAUAGAUGAAAUUAGUCUUAUAAUAUAUUUUUUAUUAUAUAUUAAUGCACACACAGCGCCUGCACACACACAGCGCCUUCACACACAGCACCUACACACACACACAGCACCCUCACACACAGCAGUGUGUGUGUGUGUGUGUAUGUAUGUGUAUGUGUACAUAUGUGUAUAUAUAUAUAUAUAUAUAUAUAUAUAUAUACGCGGCGUGUGUAUUUCUGCUUUAUGGUGCACACCCUUAUACAAUAGGCUGUGCACGCCUAUGUCAAUACAUCUCUAUGAGGAGAUGAUGAUUGGCGCAGUAUGACGUUUUGCAGUGCAUGAACGUUUUGGGAUUAGAUGGAAUAAGAUCAUCAGGAUUGAUGAUAUCAGCCAUGGAGGCAGAGCCCGUCAGGGCCAGUUGCAGUGAGACCUCUGCAGCUUGGUAAAAAAGGUAAGUAACCUUUUUACUUAGAUCGGAGGGGGGGCGAUCACCUAAGCAGCCACUUCAGGACUAUAGUAAAAAGCUGUGGAAUUUGUUGGCGCUAUAUAAAUAAUAACAUAAAUAAUUACAUAAUAAUACUAUAGUGUCAGGAAUAUUUGUUUGUGUGUUUGCUUGAAGCAUUUUGUGAGGAAGUGAUGUUGCAGUUUUAUUUUUAUGACACUUCAAAUACUUUUGAUCAUGAUUACUAGAUCAAUGUUUGAAGAACCUUUAGGUUUCUCUCCCAAUGCCAUACUUCCUAUUAAAGGGAAUAGUCAUAACACAUAUCAGUUGCUUGUCAUCUGGUUUUUCUAUAUUCUGUAGUUGGAAGCAAACUUAAUCUAUUGCUUGUCAUAUUUGUAUGUGCCUUGCCCCUCCCUACCUCCCCCUCUGCUCCUUCCCCCCCCCCCCCCAUUCCUGUUUUGUUGUUUUCCCAACAGGGUGUUGUCCCAUUGUUCUAGGAACUCCUCCAGACCAAUUCAUACUGGCUGCCCUGACACUUUCCUAAAUCUCUCAAAUGGUCCACAGUCCUUGCCAUUGUCUGCCCCCACUCUUCCUUGUAAACACUGUGCUGCAUUCACACUAAUUGUCAUUUAAUCAUUUAUUCAAGCUUUGCAGUGUGAUUGGUUGCUAUCCCAAGUAAAUACAAAAGGAAUUGGGGGCACACCUGGAACAUGCAUUUUGCAGGAAUGGUGCUGCUGUAGUGACCAAAAUGUAUACAUAAUACAGAUUAAGGAACAGCGCAAACAUAAAAAUACAUUUUAUAAUGCUACAUAAAACCCCCUAUCUCAGCGAGCAAAUAUAGGUAUGUAGCGGAUGGCACUCUGGCUGUCCUUAAAAGACUAUGGGAAUCCUGCAAUUCGUGUGUUAAUUCUGUUUUGUAAUUCCCUGUAACUAGCAUUCGUAUGUUUGUUCGGUAGUUUCCAUAUGUAUUUCAUACGAAUGGAAACUACCGAACUAAUAGACCUCCCCAGAGUGAAGUGUGUUCCCAAUUAAGUGUCGAACAUGUGUUAACCGCAGACUAAUAGGUGGAUUAUUGCUGUAUCUGGGUGUCCGCCAUUCGGCAUACAAACACGUGGCGGCGGCCAUCUUAAGCACGAAAGACUCAGCGGUGUUUGGUCGUCGAGUGUCUGGAACUCAAAUCGGACACUCGAUUACCCGAACACCGCUGACACCUCCAGAGCUCCAUAACUCCCGAACGGGAAGAUGAAUCAGCCUCCCGUUCGGUGAGUUUGGAGUACCGAACAAGGGCAUUCAGGCGAAUGACAGUUUAAUCAUGGAUGGCAUGUAUUUCAAUGUAUUUUACCUCCCGAACGGAGACCAACCGCAGGGCCAAAACGCAUGGAACCCAUUUUGGAUACCACCUCGUGUGCGGUCGGUCAAAUUUCUCCCUCCACCUAACUCCCGAACCCCUGGUCAGAUCUGGGUGAAUUUUGGAUAUGUUAGUCACCCGGAUCAGGGCUACCAGGGGGUACCCAAAGUAUGGGUGUACCUGCUAAUCUUGGGGUACAUCCAGAACUUGGGGAAAACUGUAACCUGUAUAAUGGGAUUAGGUGUCAUACUAAGGGGAGGAGAGGUGUGGGAGGUAACUGCUAUUUCAUUGGGUACUGUAUUAAUGAAUGUGAAUCCCUCCCUUGCAUGGGAGAAAUGCUUAAAAGGAGGUUGUGUGGAAUAAACAUCAGUUCUGCUCCUGAUGCUGUGUGUCGUCCAGUCAUUGGGAUCUGUAUGGGGAUAUUCGUGGAUUGCUUUGCUUAUUGGAAUUAUUGCUUCAUGGGACUUUUCAUCACUUGUUCCUGAGCCUCACUGGGAUCUUAGUGGAGUUAACCUGUGAAAUACCAGGCCUCCGCUACAAGGUAUUCCAUGAAUUUCGGCCAAGCUUCAUCUGUCAAAAAGAUUGGCCUCACAUUUGACUUUUGAAUACUUUGGUAUACAGAGGAGUUCAUGGUCAACUCAAUAACUUCAAGGUGCCCAGGUCCUGUGAAUGCAAAACAAGCCCAAAUUUUCACCCCUCCAUCACUGUGCUUGAUAGUUUUUAUGAGGAGUUUGUGAUAAUAUGCUGUGUUUCGUUUUCAGCAAAAGUGGCGCUCUAAAUUAUGACCAAGCAUCUCCACUUCGGUCUCGUCUGUCCAAAGGACAUUGUUCCAGAAGUCUUGUGAUUUGUUCAGAUGCAACUUUGCCAACCUAAGCCAUGCUGCCAUGUUGUUUUUAGAGGCUUUCUCAUGGCAAUCCUUGUAAACAAGCCAUACUUAUUCAGUCUAUUUCUAAUUGUGCUGUCAUAAACUUUAACAUUUAACAUGCUAACUAUGGCCUGAAGAAUCUGAGAAAUCUGAGAAUCUGAGUAACUCUUGUUUUUUUGCAAUUUCGCUGAGCAUUGCAUGGUAUGACCUUGGGUUAAAUUUGCUGGGACUUCAACUCCUGGGAAUACUGGCAAAAUGUUUUCCACUUUUGAAUGAUCUUUCUCACUGUAGAAUGAUGGACUUUAAAUUGUUUAGAAAUGGCCAUAUAAACCUUUCCCAGUUUGAUGGGCAGCAACAACUGCUUCUCUAAGGUCAGUGCUGGUGUCUUGAUUUAUUUAUUUAUAAAAUAUUUUACCAGGAAAGAUACAUUGAGAUUUCUCUCGUUUUCAAGUAUGUCCUGGGUCCACAAAACAUUGCAUUGAUACAAUAAAAUACAAAAACAAUAUUAAUACACAACAUAUACAAAAUUUAACAUAGAACAGGUAGGAAAUAUAUAAUCAACCAUGACACGUGCAUUCUGUUUUGAGGUAUGCAGAGAGGGAUCUCUUAAAGGACUUUAGGCUUGGGAAAGAUUUGAAAGUGUGUGGAAGGUCGUUCCAUAAUUGUGAUGCUUUGUCGGCAGAACGAGUUAUACAAUGUAUUGAGUUUUCUUGACAUUGUGUUAACACAUACCUAAACCCAUUUCUGAAUAUAAAAAACUAUUAUAUUUUUAACACGCAUUGCAUCUGAUUUCAUCCCUUGCCCAUUUGUGGUCAUUUACAAAUUUUUCUUUACAUUUCAAAGUAUAAUUACUAUAUUUUUGUAAAGCAAUCUGGUGAAAGGCAUUAAUUAAAGGGACACUAUAGUCACUAGAACAACUACAGCUUAUUGAAUUUGUUCUGGUGAGUGGAAUCAUUUCCUUCAGGUUUUUUGCUGUAAACACUGUCUUUUCAGAGAAAAUGCAGUGUUUACAUUACAGCCUAGUGAUAACUUCACUGGCCACUCCUCAGAUGGCUGUUAGAAAUCCUUCCUGGGUCAUGGCUGCCUAAAAUGCAUCCAAACAUUUAGUGUCUCCUCCCUCUGCAUGCAGACAUGCCUACGGCAGCACAAAACCAGGAUACACCACUGACUGUACCCAUGCUUAAGAAGACAAGCUAGAACAGUGGCUUUAAUAAAUUCUGGAUCUGCUUUAGGCAAACCAAGCAAAUCGAGACUGAUUGGUUCGUCUCCAUUAACACGAUCUUGAAUAUAAACAAUUAACACUGAAUGUGAAGAAACUGUAGUAGACCCAUCAAUAUAAGAAAAUCUUAAAACCAAAAAAAGGCCAAUUAUUUAUAAAAAGGAAUAUAAACAUAUAUAUCAAAAGAGCAGCACCUAAACAAGUGUAAUGACCCAUCAAUAUAUACAGAUUUUUUUGGAGCCUGUUCAAUAAUUGUCUUGCAAAGCUUUUUUUCUCAUUUCUCUGGCAAUGCAAUCUAUUAUUUGAGCAGCUGUAUACUCACUAAGGAGAAUACAUCCUAAGUCUGCACUAUUUGCAACUUGAAAACUGAUAUGCUCUCAAAGUCAGUAAAAAGGCAUUUUUUUUACACACAAAAGUAGGCAGUGCAAAACAGUUUAGUGGUGGACUAAAAUGUAUGCUUCUGCUGUUUUGAAAUGUUGGACUGCAGUGUCUCCUUUCUAGAUACAGUUUGGAUAUGUCCUGCUUUGUACUUGUGGUUCUGAAAUCUUCUGUACAUUGAUGUUUUUACGCAGUGAGGUCAACAUAUCUUUUCUUGUUUUGCCAUAUAAUGAGUAAUCAUACCAGUGCUCCGUUCUUUGGAAACAGAGUAACCAUAUAAAACAGACAUUCCAAGUUGUUUAACCUCACAACACACAUUGCAUCCUAAAAGGCCGUUUUCUAUGAACAGCCAAAGGUACUUUUUCAAGAUUGUAGCGACUGAUUUUGGUCCUAAUAUUCUUGAGCACCCAUUUUCUUGAGCAUGUAUGUUACUGGCUCGAGUAUAUUUGCAUGAUGUGUUGCAGGUAUCCCAGAGUGGAGCUUCUAAAAAAUAGAUCCUCUCAGGAAUACGAAAGCCACAGAUUAAAAAUAAAAUAUCCAAAUUUAUCGUAAUAACAAACAUAAAACUCUUACAUGAAAGUAAGGUGUCAUAUUUAAUAUUCCUUUGGAUAAGAUAGACGCACAAUGCAUUUUGACAGUCCAUGAUCAUCAUCAGGUGUUUUUUUAUUCUAAUUUUAAUCCUGGAAGGAUUACUUGUAGAAGCUCCAUUCUGGGAUACCUACCACACAUUAUGCAAAUUUACUUGAUCCAUUGACAUACAGGUUUAUGAAAAUGUGAGUGUAAUACAAUUAAGAUAUAUUGACAUUCAUGCUGUUCGGACGGGUGCUGCAUGAGCUCUGGUCCACACCGUCUACGUUUCAGGUAAUACAAGCGGCUUGUAAACUAUCACAUUUACUACGUGCACUAUCCACAUCGUGGAUUUGUUCAAAACCCAAACCCGACACUGCCGGGGGCCCAUAGUGCUACAUUGCGGCCUAUCAGCACUGAAAUUGGGAGGAAGACGCUCCUCUCACUCCUAUACUCCUCAUGCAGCUCAGCUGAACUCCUACCCCUCUCCCCCUUAGACAUCAGUCAUUGCCAGACAAGUUUUAUCAACUUAAAACGCAUUCCCAACAAGCUUACCAGAAUAGAGCUUUGCUCUGCCAGCACACCGCAACUCCACAGACCAAUGCCUGUAGAGAAUGACUGGAACAUGCUUCAAGAAGGAGUCGAAAGAAGCAAGGAACCUAGGGCAGGAAAGUCCCUUCCAAGAAGUAAGUCCGUGCAGACGCCUCCACGGCUACCUCCUAGUCAGUCUAGCAUGAAAAUCAGUAGAAGCCUUCCUAAAUUACAGCGUUUGCGGACACAGAAGAACAAAUGCCAGACUCUGCAAUCUAUACCCAGACUCUCAAGCUAUCCCCAGAAAAAAAAGGCUUUGUAAGAGACAGUCUUUAUUUCCGAGAUGCAGAGAAACUAGCCCAUGGGCAGUCUUGGGUCAGGGAGAGUACUCACUCCUGGAACCCUCUUGCGAAUACUUAUAAGAAUAUCCUGACAACUCAUCAAUCAGACCACCUACAUGGUGGGGGUCGGCUGACUUGGGCCUUAGGACUGCUACCUGACUUAUGAACUUCUAAGUAGAGAGCGGAUGCCAAUUUGAUAUCUAUGUCUCAACUGGUUUUAUAUGUGCUGACUUUUAUGUAUUUUUUGUGGUGCAGCGGCAUAGGCCUUGUCUCAGUGGUUUUUACGCAUCUGUUUAUCAUCAUACCACUCUUGGGCAAGGUGCCCAUCUUCAUACUUCUGUUGGAUAAACAUGAUUUCAAUUUCAGUGAUUCAUAUACAUGUUCUAUACAACUAAGCUGACUCUACAUAUCUUGAUAAUCCUCUUCCAUACCUUUAACACUAGCAUUAUUGACAUGUAUUAUUGGUUUAUUUCUUGUCAUUACUUAUCACAUAGAAUGUGCGUGUGUUAUUUGAAUUCAUUUUAUUUUAAAAGAGGUUUGCCUAAUCUCUCAGCAACCUUGCUUGAGCAAUGAUCUCACAUCACUUUAGUGUACCAGUCGAUACCCAUGUGCUGUUAUGUUAUUGCCUAUAUUGCAUUUGUACUGCUACUGUACUGUUGUACUUAACGUUUAACCUAUGCCUCAAUAAAAACAAAGAAUAACAAACAAAAAAAAAUAAGUAUGUAGGGGUUUAGAAAAAUACCCAAUAUGUAUGACACACUUUAGAGGUUUGCCUUGAUGUGACAGGUGGACUUACAUGUAAUGGCCUUUGGAGUGAAACAAAAAACCUAAAUUUAUUGAAAAAUGGGAUAGUGCGCAGGUAACUCUUUUCUUUUUUUUUUGUUAGUAAUGGGUUUCUGAGCGCAGGACUUAUUUUUGUGUAACUGGUUCACUAUUGACUUAUACAGUAUUAUUUUUAUUUCACUGGUUAUCCUAUAUUUUCACACACAGUGUGCUCUCUCACUAGUUUCGUUUUUGUAUAUAGUAGCCCAAUGUCAUUCUCUCCACACAUAGAUAGCUCCCCAUUCUCAUCCUCUCCUCAUGUAGAUAGUACCCUGUUCUCAUUCUCUCCUAAUAAAGAUGAUACCACAUUUCCAUACUCUCCAUUCGUGUCAUGACCUUACUUUGUUAGUCCACUUGAGGGCACUAGACAACAGUGGUAAACAAAUAAACAGAGGUACCAAUCCUGCAGCUCUCAUAAGAAAUUAUUGUGCAUGAAUCUCAUACACAAAGCAAGGGAGAUAAAAAGAUGAUAGAGUAGUAUACAUAUUAGUGGGGUUCUGGUUUUGGGAGGUUCCGUCUUUCCUAUAAAUACACUUUGUUUUUUUGUUUCUAUUAGGAGGUGUAUUAUUUAAGAUGGGGCAUCAGAGUGGUAUAUUCACCAGGUUGACCUUUAUUUUUUUGUUUUAAUCUUGCCUGUUGGCAUAAAUCACUUAAAGGACCACUAUAGUGCCAAGAAAACAUACUCGUUUUCCUGGCACUAUAGUGCCCUGAGGGUGCCCCCACCCUCAGGGUCCCCCUCCCGCCCGGCUCUGGAAGGGGGAAAGGUGUUAAAACUUACCUUUUUCCAGCGCUGGGCAGAGAGCUCUCCUCCUCCGAUCCUCCCUGUCGGCUGAAUGCACACGCGCGGCAAGAGCUGCGCACGCAUUCAGCCGGUCACACAGGAAAGCAUUAUCAAUGCUUUCCUAUGGACGCUUGCGUGCUCUUACUGUGAAAAUCACAGUGAGAAGCACGCAAGCGCCUCUAGUGGCUGUCAAUGAGACAGCCACUAGAGGAAAUAGGGAAGGUUUAACCCAUUCAUAAACAUAGCAGUUUCUCUGAAACUGCUAUGUUUAUGAAAAAAUGGGUUAACCCUAGCUGGACCUGGCACCCAGACCACUUCAUUAAGUGAAGUAGUCUGGGUGCCUAGAGUGGUCCUUUAACUAUAGCCAUGGCCAAUUCCUAGUGACAAAUAACGUGUAUUUCUCUUAACUUUCCUGUGAUUAACUAUUGUCUUGCAUCCACUUUUAAUCAGUUCUCUAAACUAUCCAUUCUAAUUUACAUUUAAAAGUUUUGUGUCUAUAUGAUAUAAAUACACACAUGAUAACUGAUACGUUUUUGGCCUUAGUUCCUAGAUUGUGGGAAAAUGUCAUGUCUUGACAUAAAAUACCAGUGAUUUAGAUAUAUUUUUAUUAGCAGUACUUUGUGAGUACAAAUGUCCAUAUUUUAAGUGGGAGAAAUCUGUAAAUUCUGGUGUCCAAUGCAUGCACUUUGGUAGAAUUUUGCUCAGAAUAUUCAUGUCUUUUGAGUGAGAAAUUUGUGGAAUUUUAUUCACCCCUGAAAUAUUGGAUUUAAUGUAGCUUUGUCAGUGUAACUCUAAGCGUGGUUGAUUGAGCUCAUCCCAAAACAUCCAUGAUGCAAGUGUCUGUUUCUGCAUACUUGCUGCCCAGUGCUACUUUUCCUUGAUAUUUUUGCUACUGUGAAAAAGUGUGGAUUGUGGAGUGAAGAAAAACAAUGGUCACAUUUUUCAUGGAUAUUGCAAGGUAUGGGGAAUCCAUCCAGAGCCAGAUUACUCAUUAUGUGGCCAACUAGGGCUCAGACUUAGACAGAGGCCCAGAGGGCUCCUUUUUGGGCCUGGAGCUCCAGGUCUGGUUGUGAGGGGGUCCUCCAUCAGCUGACAAAGAGAGCAAAAGAUGUCCUCGUGCCAUUGAAGGAGCUUUGUGGUCUGCACAUUAGGAUCUCCCUUGCAUUCUUCUGGCGCUUUUCAGUGAGUCAGAGUGCCACAGCCUGUGAGGGGUCGCUUGAAUAUAACAUUAGGAAUACAUGUUUGUAUUCCGAACACAGUGUUUAUUUAAGUUUUAAUAUGGUUGACAAGAUAACAAUGUACAUUGGGGAAUUAUGUUUUUAUUCUCUCAGAUUUUCUUCUUUCUUUCUAUUUUUUUUAUUUAUGCAGCUUGAUAGAUAAGAGUAAGCCUUUGAUGUAGAUUAUCUGAUUAUCUUAGUUACAUAGAAAUGUAGGAUGAAAAAAGCUCCAGUCCAUCUGUUGCCUUAGUUGAAAAUGUGUGCGUGCCAAUUAUUUAAGUAAUGUAAAAUAUGUCCAAGUGUGAUCAUGACUUAUUGUUUACAGGUUACCUGGCUCCCCGCAGUCUCCAGAGUGCUGGAAUAAUACCUUUCCUGGAAACUUUUCUUUGUGACACAGACACAAAAUGCAAAAACAAAUCCUACUCUCCAGAUCCAUACACCCCAAAAUCUGUCAGCAGGUACCAACUGAAAUAAAACAUUUGAAUGUUGAAACUGUAUAUGUGUCUAUAUCUUGUAAAAUAAUACUAAGAAACAUUAAGUUAAUUAUGUUUAAUGCAGCAGUGUCAUUUUUUUUCUUUCAGUUUUCAUGCCUUCUGUUUAUUAGUUAUUAUAUGCAACGACUGCUACUUGCUUUUAUUUAAAUGUAUGGUAGGCAAUAUUAGUAUAAAUACAAUGAGACCACACAAUAGCCACAGACAACAUUUAAUUACUUUUCAAUUACUUUUACUUUUUGGCAGUUGUGUUUAUGCAAAGCUGAAGGGGCUUACAACCAUAAUUUCAUAGCCGUAACCAUAUGACAAACUUUAACCUUUACAAGCCUUUAACUUUAUGAACCCACCAAAUAGCCAGUCAGUCUUAGAUGACCUGACCACCUUUUAUUUAAAACCAUUUACCACCAUAUCCUUCUUUUGAACUUGACCCUGACUUUUGCCCCAAUGCAUCAUAACACCAUGACAAUACAAUUAACCUCCCUGGCGGUCUGAUUAUCUCAGUAUUUUUUAAUGUUAAAGCAGUACAUUGUUUUUACAAUGUAUUGUGUGUAUUUUUAUACACCAGGGGCUCAUAGGUACAAGAUACGUGAUACUACAGUGUAAUCCUGAGCGUGGCUUGGGGUUACCGCUUUUGGUACUGUAAAUUAACCGCCAGGGAGGCUAAAAUUAAAGGGAGGGAGGGGUCUGUUCGCCCUGGUCCUGCUUCAGUUCACUCUGACCGGAUUAAACUUGUGCUGCUGCUUUUUAUACUCUCUCUGUUUUCCGCUCUUUUAUUGCUUGCAACCAUCAACCAAUCUCAGGCUAGCUCCAGUCCCCAGUGUCAUCAAUUCUGACCAGACACCUGUCUAACUGACCAACUGCCACAAAAUCUAAAACUUCUCUACAUUCCAAUCCAAGAAAAGGUAGAUUAACUCCUUCAUUGCCACCAUACAUAUGUGCCACAGUACUUAGUGCCUGUGACUUCCAUAUCUUAUUUUUUCUUCCUUGUGCUGGAUCUCAAUACCUGGCUGCCUCCAUUUCGAUCCCCUUUUUCCAUGAUGUCCCUCCUGUGGGAUUCUUUUGAAUGAUGGAUAGUUUGUGAAUUAGUUCUGCAAGUGAAACUGAACUUUGCUUGAAAUCUGCCCAUUGCCAAAGGUCACACUCCCUAUUAUAAGAAGCAGUCACGGUUUUUCUUAUGCACGCCUAAAACACAAGGGAAAUUGUUAAAAAACAAAGAGGAAUAUAGGGAUAAAAAUAAUCAUUUUAAAAAUUCCAUAAGCUCUCUUGAACAAAGAGUGUCAGCUGAUUGCUCUAUUGUAUUUUGUAAUGACCAAAUUCUGACAUUUAUUGGCAAUUCUUAUAUUUACUAAAGCCAAAUGCAGUCAGAAUCCAGAUGCAUUUGGUGUCCAGAUUAAAAUUGGAGUUUGAAAAUGAUCAUUUCAAGUACUAUUUGCCUCUAGUGCAAGUAGUUAAAUAACCCACAGCAAUGCAAGGCCAGCUGCCAUAUUGUAAAAGUAAAUAUGCAAAUUAAUAAUAAAAAUCCCUAUGUGGGUCAAUAAGAUCCCGAUAUUAGUAUCAUAUGUCUGCCACAUACAGUAUGUUUGCCACAUAUGUAACACAUAUUUAAACCUAGCAAUUGGGCAGCCAUUGACCAUCCCACCUCCUUGGUGAGACCUGGCAGCGUUCCUGCUGUUAUUGCCAGAUUUUCCUCCAUGCUCUCCUGUGCUAUCUGUGUGAGGAGAAGAGCCAGGCUGGGAAAUAGGAAGAUACAUCACUUCCUGCCCUCUCCUCUCCCACACUGCAGAGUUCUCCUGGUCUGUGAACAUUGUGAAGAUAAGGAGUAGCCUGGCAGAGACACCAGGCAUGCUCCUUGUAAAUAUUUUCAACAUUUCAACAUUCCUUAUGUACAUACUUCAACCCCCAUCACCCCCUGCACCCACCACAGCCCCUAUGUCUUCCUGCACCCAACCAUUAUGCCUUUAUGUGCCCACUGCUGCCCCAUGCACCCCUGUACCCACUACAGGCCCUAUGCCCCCUGCAUCCACUACAGCCCCCAUGCCCCACUGCACCCACUACAGCACCUAUGCCACAACACACCUACUUCAGCCCCUAUCUCCCUUGCAGCUGUUACAGCACCUAUAGCCCCAGGCACCUACUGCAGCCCCUAUCCCCCAUGCACAAACUGCAGCCAAUAUCUUACUUACAGACAUACUGCUGCCUCUAUAUGCCCCACAUACAGUAGAGCCACUAUUAUCUAUACAAAUACACACACUACAAACCCAGUAUCCCCAAACGCCCAUUACAGCAUCUAUCCCACACACAUUCAACCACCCCUAUCUAAAAACACCGCAACACAACGAGCCCUCACACACACAAUUAUUACAAUCACUCAUAUAGCAUCAACAUAUUCUGCAGCACUAUACAAUAGGUAAAACAAGACACAUUAUAAAUUCUAACACAGAUAGUUGUAGUAGCAAAAAACACUUUCACCAGGAGGGUGUCCUUGAUCUCCUCGAGCCCCGUGAGUUGUAAGUCCGUCCAUGUCAAUAAAAUAAAUUAGGCAACACUGGGGGGCAAAUAUGCUACCCUAAAAGGGACUAAAUGGCUGUCAUGGGCUACCAGCACCAGGGUAUGUAGUUGGCAGAACUUUACUUUCCCUGAUGCAACUUCUAUUUUGAAUCCAUGACUGCUGCAUUGUUUAAGCCUGCUGCUUCUGCGGCACAACGUGAAAAGUGAAGAGUGUCUGACAGCUCUCCUCUAGCUCCCUACUUUGAAUACAUCCCUAUACUCUCCCCUGCAGUCUCUGUUAAGCCUUCCAUUAAGCCCUCCCUUGCUCCAUGCUUUGAGUCCCUUCCUCCUUCCCUGCCGACAACUUUUCACUGCAGGCUCAUCCAGGAAGGAACUGACAUCCCUGCACCCCAGCCAGGUACAAAUUUGUCUGACACUCUGCACAUAGAAAUUGAACUAAACUGUUCAACAGUGACCUCAAAUAAUAAUAUUUUUACCUUUCGCUUUUUUAUAUAUUUUUUUAAAUUAAAAUAAUAGUAAAAGUAUUAAAAAAUACACAAAAAUAACAACAAAUUGGACACUAGGUGGCACUGUACAUAAUAACAACAACUGUAUGUUAUUAAUAGACUAUGGGUAUUACCACAAUAAUUGGGCAAAGUCCAAAAGGUUAGGGGCAGAGUUUACAGAGAGUGGUGGGAUCAAAUUCCAAGGGUGGAGCCUAGCACCCAGCCAUCUAAAAACUUCACCAACUGCCACUGAUCUGGGGCCUGAAUUACAAAAUUGACACAUUGUUAAAUACCAUGAACAAUGUCUGGAUUUUGCCGUUCAAACUGCCCUCAGCUUGAUGGUUUUGCCUCAAUUGUUAUGAGACCAUUCAGACUUUAGAGCAUAACUCUGUAAGGUGUGAUUGGUGAUUGGUGAGUGUAAAUUUUAACUUACAGGGCAAAACAUAGCUGACUGGAUAUUUUAUUUUUAAAUUCUGCUGCCGCAGAUAAUAGUGUAACUUGUUUGUGUAUUGUGAACGUUUGGAUUGUGUAAAGAUGUCAUGUGACUUAUGGUGUUGUGUUGAUAUUUAUAUUUAUGUAAGAAACUGAAUAAAAGAAUUUAUAAUGAAAAAAAAAAAAUUCUGCUGCUUUAACAAAAUUUCAUGUUGAACACCCAACAUUUUUUAUUUUGCUUAAAGGGACACCAUAGGCACUGUAUCUGCUUCAUCUCAUUAAACUGGUUAUAGUGUCUGGAGUCCUCUGGUACAAUCAUUUCUUUCAGCAUUAAACAGUUUUUAAAGUUUUUAUGUUUUAAUGCUAAACAAGAGUCCCCGGCAGUCCAUCCCCUAUGUGCUGCUUUGGCUAAUAAGGAAGUAUUAGCCUGAGCAGCAAUAGGCAGCUGUGAUUGGCUGAGAGUGUCAGCUGACUGCUUUUAGCCUGUCAGAGUUCCAACUGACGGUAUGAAUGGGUAUGACAACAAGGAAGUGUGUAAUCUCUUCCUUAGCUACACAUACUGAAGGGGCCGGACUGUGGGGGCCAGGGACUCUUAUUUUGUGGCAUACUGCACGGACAUGGUGCAACACUGAAUAGAGGGACAGUGCCAGGGCACUCCAGGCACUAUAACCAAUUCAAAGAGAUGAAAUGCUUAUAGUGACUACAGUGUCCCUUUAAUAACCUUAGAGUAAUAAUGCUAACAGCAGGUACAACACACAUCUUACUAUACCUCCACUCUUUAUGAAAGGUCUCCUUCAAUCCAGAAUCACACUCCUAUUCUCAAAUACAAAACAUAAAAAGAAGGUUAAAGUGGUAAUAAUAUAGGAAGUGAAUGUUCUUCUUUUGCACUUAUGGAUAACUGACAUGGUUUAAUCAUAUGAGCACAGGCACUUCUUGAUCUCAGGUGAAAUGUAACUUUCAACUUUUUUUUUUUAUCUGGUUGCUUUAGUUUCAGGAUACAAAAACGUUCCAUAGAUACUGGAGGACUUGGCUUAACCGAUUUACGGAUUAACAACUCAACAUCCUCA